CAAAUGCCUCGUCAUCCAAUUAGUGACGCGCAUGAAUGGAUUAACGAGAUUCCCACUGUCCCUAUCUACUGUCUAGCGAAACCACAGCCAAGGGAACGGGCUUGGAAAAAUCAGCGGGGAAAGAAGACCCUGUUGAGCUUGACUCUAGUUUGACUUUGUGAAGAGACAUGGGAGGUGUAGCAUAAGUGGGAGACUUCGGUUGACAGUGAAAUACCACUACUCCCAUCGUUUCUUUACUUACUCGAUGAGGCGGAGUGCGAUUCUUAUCAGAAUCACCCUACUUGCGCAAAGUGUCGGACUGUCUAUCAGGCAGUCUGCACGAUCCGAUUCGAGGACAUUGUCAGGCGGGGAGUUUGACUGGGGCGGUACAUCUGUCAAAUACUAACGCAGGUGUCCUAAGGUUGGCUCCGUCAGGACAGAAACCUGGCUUAGAGCAAAAGGGCAAAUGCCAGCUUGAUCUACGACGUUCAGU
Molecule: ribosomal RNA, 472 nt
Filed under: Baicalocandona navitarum
Lineage: Eukaryota; Metazoa; Arthropoda; Ostracoda; Podocopida; Candonidae
Description: LSU rRNA
Rfam family: Eukaryotic large subunit ribosomal RNA
Source: RNAcentral